UCGAACGAGCGAGAGAGAGCUUGCUUUCUCGAGCGAGUGGCGAACGGGUGAGUAACGCGUGAGGAACCUGCCUCAAAGAGGGGGACAACAGUUGGAAACGACUGCUAAUACCGCAUAAGCCCACGGUGCCGCAUGGCACAGAGGGAAAAGGAGCAAUCCGCUUUGAGAUGGCCUCGCGUCCGAUUAGCUAGUUGGUGAGGUAACGGCCCACCAAGGCGACGAUCGGUAGCCGGACUGAGAGGUUGAACGGCCACAUUGGGACUGAGACACGGCCCAGACUCCUACGGGAGGCAGCAGUGGGGAAUAUUGCACAAUGGGGGAAACCCUGAUGCAGCGACGCCGCGUGGAGGAAGAAGGUCUUCGGAUUGUAAACUCCUGUUGUUGGGGAAGAUAAUGACGGUACCCAACAAGGAAGUGACGGCUAACUACGUGCCAGCAGCCGCGGUAAAACGUAGGUCACAAGCGUUGUCCGGAAUUACUGGGUGUAAAGGGAGCGCAGGCGGGAAGACAAGUUGGAAGUGAAAUCU
This 527-nucleotide ribosomal RNA is filed under the name uncultured bacterium. RNAcentral describes it as "bacterial SSU rRNA". It matches the Rfam family "Bacterial small subunit ribosomal RNA", at positions 62 to 602 of the family's 1533-position model. The record is from RNAcentral.